RNAcentral lists this ribosomal RNA (699 nucleotides) under Myroides odoratimimus. RNAcentral describes it as "bacterial SSU rRNA". It matches the Rfam family "Bacterial small subunit ribosomal RNA", at positions 741 to 1454 of the family's 1533-position model. The record is from RNAcentral. Lineage: Bacteria; Pseudomonadati; Bacteroidota; Flavobacteriia; Flavobacteriales; Flavobacteriaceae.
UGACGCUGAUGAACGAAAGCGUGGGGAGCGAACAGGAUUAGAUACCCUGGUAGUCCACGUCGUAAACGAUGGAUACUAGCUGUUCGGUUUUCGGACUGAGUGGCUAAGCGAAAGUGAUAAGUAUCGCACCUGGGGAGUACGUUCGCAAGAAUGAAACUCAAAGGAAUUGACGGGGGCCCGCACAAGCGGUGGAGCAUGUGGUUUAAUUCGAUGAUACGCGAGGAUCCUUACCAGGGCUUAAAUGUAGAUUGACAGAUUUGGAAACAGAUUUUUCUUCGGACAAUUUACAAGGUGCUGCAUGGUUGUCGUCAGCUCGUGCCGUGAGGUGUCAGGUUAAGUCCUAUAACGAGCGCAACCCCUAUUGUUAGUUACCAGCGCGUUAAGGCGGGGACUCUAGCAAGACUGCCGGUGCAAACCGUGAGGAAGGUGGGGAUGACGUCAAAUCAUCACGGCCCUUACGUCCUGGGCUACACACGUGCUACAAUGGCAAGUACAGAAAGCAGGUACCUGGCAACAGGAUGCGAAUCUCCAAAGCUUGUCUCAGUUCGGAUUGGAGUCUGCAACUCGACUCUAUGAAGCUGGAAUCGCUAGUAAUCGGAUAUCAGCCAUGAUCCGGUGAAUACGUUCCCGGGCCUUGUACACACCGCCCGUCAAGCCAUGGAAGCUGGGGGUACCUGAAGUCGGCGACCGCAAGGAGCU